Molecule: non-coding RNA, 30 nt
Filed under: Mus musculus (house mouse)
Lineage: Eukaryota; Metazoa; Chordata; Mammalia; Rodentia; Muridae
Source: RNAcentral
UGGAAGUGUAAGCCGAAGUGUAAGCCGAAU